ACCAAACAUAUAGCUGCGCUCUCUCUCACAUCUCUGAGAAAUCUGCCCUGCUGGUCAACUCUCUGUUAGAUCCAAAUCGAUAUUGUGUUUCUAAACGAGCUGAGGCCCUGGUUUUCUUUCCAACUACCUUGGGCCAUGGAAGCUGCAGCCGUGCAAGCAACUGUUCCAGCCAUCGGAGAGGUCAUCAAGCUCUCCUUUUGUUUUGUUUGCAGCCGCGGAGAUUAUUUCGCUGAACUGGAAGACAAUCUC
Molecule: unclassified non-coding RNA, 249 nt
Filed under: Hevea brasiliensis (rubber tree)
Lineage: Eukaryota; Viridiplantae; Streptophyta; Magnoliopsida; Malpighiales; Euphorbiaceae
Source: RNAcentral